RNAcentral lists this ribosomal RNA (955 nucleotides) under uncultured bacterium. Its description in RNAcentral is "bacterial SSU rRNA". It matches the Rfam family "Bacterial small subunit ribosomal RNA", at positions 534 to 1501 of the family's 1533-position model. The record is from RNAcentral.
GGGAGGGUUGUUCGGGAUUCUGGGCGUAAGCGCGCGUAGGCGGUUUUCCAAGUCGGGCGUGAAAGCCCCGGGCUCAACCCGGGAAAUGCGCUCGAAACUUGUAGACUGGAGGCCGGAAGAGGGUAGUGGAAUUCCCAGUGUAGAGGUGAAAUUCGUAGAUAUUGGGAAGAACACCGGUGGCGAAGGCGGCUACCUGGUCCGGAUCUGACGCUGAGGCGCGAAAGCGUGGGGAGCAAACAGGAUUAGAUACCCUGGUAGUCCACGCUAUAAACUAUGGACACUAGGUAUAGGGAGUAUCGACCCUCUCUGUGCCGUAGCUAACGCGUUAAGUGUCCCGUCUGGGGAGUACGGCCGCAAGGCUAAAACUCAAAGGAAUUGGCGGGGGUCCGCACAAGCAGCGGAGGGUGUGGUUUAAUUCGAUGCAAAACGAAGAACCUUACCAAGGCUUGACAUGACGGAAGUAAUGAACCGAAAGGGGAAUGACCUGUUAAGUCAGGAGCCGCCACAGGUGCUGCAUGGCUGUCGUCAGCUCGUGCCGUGAGGUGUUUGGUUAAGUCCUGCAACGAGCGCAACCCUCAUUGCCAGUUAUAUUCUCUGGCGAGACUGCCUCGCAAAACGGGGAGGAAGGUGGGGAUGACGUCAAGUCAGCACGGCCUUUAUGCCUUGGGCUACACACACCCUACAAUGGGUGGUACAAUGGGUUGCAAGAGAGUGAUCUGGAGCAAAUCCUAAAAGCCAUCCUCAGUUCAGAUUGCAGGCUGAAACCUGCCUGCAUGAAGCCGGAGUUGCUAGUAACCGCAGGUCAGAAUACUGCGGUGAAUACGUUCUCGGGCCUUGUACACACCGCCCGUCACGUCAUGAAAAUCGGCAACACCUGAAGUCGAUGGGCUAACCCGCAAGGGGGGCAGUCGCCGACGUGGGGCUGGUGAUUGGGACGAAGUCUUACAAGGUAACC